This is a long non-coding RNA of Neofelis nebulosa (Clouded leopard), 509 nucleotides long. RefSeq lists it as uncharacterized. The transcript is spliced from 4 exons. Lineage: Eukaryota; Metazoa; Chordata; Mammalia; Carnivora; Felidae. The record is from RefSeq and is a predicted model, not a curated record.
CUGUUUCCAGGUGCAUGCAGCUCCGAAACGGCGGAGCAAAGCGGAGACAGCGAAGCCACUCAGAAGGGGGAUGGCAGCAACAGAAACUCAUUGCUUAUCACAAGGCAGACUGCAAUAUACAGAUGUCUCUCCAAGGGUUGGAACCUCCCUCCAUCUCCUUGUUCCUUAGGACCUAGGAUGUUAACAGGAGACAAAUGAUCCCCUGAAGGAAGUUCUGGGAAGCAAGAAAAAUGCCAAGCUCUGAAAAUGGUAGACCUGUGGAGACUUCACGAUUUGCAAAAAAUCAGCAUGAUGCAAGACACCCACCUGUUACGAGCUCCCCCCUGCAUGUUUGCCAUUCCCAGGGUCAGGAGCACUUGGUGAGACUUUGGAUCUCCACUGCAGACUUCAAAUGAUUUCGAGAGACAGGAAAAGGAGGCGUUCCAUGUUAAUUCUGACAGAUCAGUGUUAUUCCUUCAGAUGGAAGCAACAUAGACUAGAAAUAAAUCAGUUUUAUUCUUGAAAAUUUA